AAUCAACGCUGGCGGCGUGCCUCAGACAUGCAAGUCGAACGCGAAAGGUUCCUUCGGGAGCCGAGUAGAGUGGCGCUCGGGUGAGUAACACGUAGGUAAUUUGCCUUUGGGUGGGGAAUAACAAUCGGAAACGGUUGCUAAUACCGCAUAAUGCAGCGGCUCGACAUCGAGACAGUUGUUAAAGCGGGGGAUCCUUCGGGACCUCGCGCCUAAAGAGAAGCCUGCGGCGGAUUAGCAGUUGGUGAGGUAAUGGCUCACCAAGGCGACGAUCCGUAACCGGCCUGAGAGGGCGGACGGUCACACUGACACUUAAAUACGGGUCAGACCCCUACGGGAGGCAGCAGUCGGGAAGUUUU
Molecule: ribosomal RNA, 356 nt
Filed under: uncultured bacterium
Lineage: Bacteria
Description: bacterial SSU rRNA
Rfam family: Bacterial small subunit ribosomal RNA
Source: RNAcentral